AAGGACAUGUGGAGCGCUUAGAAGUGAGAAUGCCGGUGUGAGUAGCGAAAGACGGGUGAGAAUCCCGUCCACCGAUUGACUAAGGUUUCCAGAGGAAGGCUCGUCCGCUCUGGGUUAGUCGGGUCCUAAGCUGAGGCCGACAGGCGUAGGCGAUGGAUAACAGGUUGAUAUUCCUGUACCACCUAUAAUCGUUUUAAUCGAUGGGGGGACGCAGUAGGAUAGGCGAAGCGUACGAUUGGAUUGUACGUCUAAGCAGUGAGAUUGAGUGUUAGGCAAAUCCGGCACUCUUAAGAUUGAGCUGUGAUGGGGAGAGGAAAUUGUUUCCUCGAGUCGUUGAUUUCACACUGCCGAGAAAAGCCUCUAGAUAGAGAUUAGGUGCCCGUACCGCAAACCGACACAGGUAGUCAAGAUGAGAAUUCUAAGGUGAGCGAGCGAACUCUCGUUAAGGAACUCGGCAAAAUGACCCCGUAACUUCGGGAGAAGGGGUGCUCUUUAGGGUGCAAGCCCAGAAGAGCCGCAGUGAAUAGGCCCAAGCGACUGUUUAUCAAAAACACAGGUCUCUGCUAAACCGUAAGGUGAUGUAUAGGGGCUGACGCCUGCCCGGUGCUGGAAGGUUAAGAGGAGUGGUUAGCUUCUGCGAAGCUACGAAUCGAAGCCCCAGUAAACGGCGGCCGUAACUAUAACGGUCCUAAGGUAGCGAAAUUCCUUGUCGGGUAAGUUCCGACCCGCACGAAAGGCGUAACGAUUUGGGCACUGUCUCAACGAGAGACUCGGUGAAAUCAUAGUACCUGUGAAGAUGCAGGUUACCCGCGACAGGACGGAAAGACCCCGUGGAGCUUUACUGUAGCCUGAUAUUGAAAUUCGGCACAGCUUGUACAGGAUAGGUAGGAGCCUUUGAAACGUGAGCGCUAGCUUACGUGGAGGCGUUGGUGGGAUACUACCCUAGCUGUGUUGGCUUUCUAACCCGCACCACUUAUCGUGGUGGGAGACAGUGUCAGGCGGGCAGUUUGACUGGGGCGGUCGCCUCCUAAAAGGUAACGGAGGCGCUCAAAGGUUCCCUCAGAAUGGUUGGAAAUCAUUCAUAGAGUGUAAAGGCAUAAGGGAGCUUGACUGCGAGACCUACAAGUCGAGCAGGGUCGAAAGACGGACUUAGUGAUCCGGUGGUUCCGCAUGGAAGGGCCAUCGCUCAACGGAUAAAAGCUACCCCGGGGAUAACAGGCUUAUCUCCCCCAAGAGUUCACAUCGACGGGGAGGUUUGGCACCUCGAUGUCGGCUCAUCGCAUCCUGGGGCUGUAGUCGGUCCCAAGGGUUGGGCUGUUCGCCCAUUAAAGCGGUACGCGAGCUGGGUUCAGAACGUCGUGAGACAGUUCGGUCCCUAUCCGUCGUGGGCGUAGGAAAUUUGAGAGGAGCUGUCCUUAGUACGAGAGGACCGGGAUGGACAUACCUCUGGUGUACCAGUUGUCGUGCCAACGGCAUAGCUGGGUAGCUAUGUAUGGACGGGAUAAGUGCUGAAAGCAUCUAAGCAUGAAGCCCCCCUCAAGAUGAGAUUUCCCAACUUCGGUUAUAAGAUCCCUCAGAGAUGAUGAGGUUAAUAGGUUCGAGGUGGAAGCGUGGUGACACGUGGAGCUGACGAAUACUAAUCGAUCGAAGACUUAAUCAA
This 1660-nucleotide ribosomal RNA is filed under the name Staphylococcus hominis. RNAcentral's name for it is "partial 23S ribosomal RNA". It matches the Rfam family "Bacterial large subunit ribosomal RNA", at positions 1265 to 2925 of the family's 2925-position model. The record is from RNAcentral. Lineage: Bacteria; Bacillati; Bacillota; Bacilli; Caryophanales; Staphylococcaceae.